UGGGGAAUAUUGGACAAUGGGCGAAAGCCUGAUCCAGCCAUGCCGCGUGUGUGAAGAAGGUCUUCGGAUUGUAAAGCACUUUAAGUUGGGAGGAAGGGCAGUAAGCGAAUACCUUGCUGCUUUGACGUUACCGACAGAAUAAGCACCGGCUAACUCUGUGCCAGCAGCCGCGGUAAUACAGAGGGUGCAAGCGUUAAUCGGAAUUACUGGGCGUAAAGCGCGCGUAGGUGGUUCGUUAAGUUGAAUGUGAAAGCCCCGGGCUCAACCUGGGAACUGCAUCCAAAACUGGCGAGCUAGAGUAGGGCAGAGGGUGGUGGAAUUACCUGUGUGGCGGUGAAAUGCGUAGGUAUAUGAAGGAACACAAGUGGCGAAGGCGACCACCUGGGCUGAUACUGACACUGAGGUGCGAAAGCGUGGGGAGCAAACAGG
This 429-nucleotide ribosomal RNA is filed under the name Pseudomonadota bacterium. RNAcentral describes it as "Proteobacteria bacterium partial 16S ribosomal RNA". It matches the Rfam family "Bacterial small subunit ribosomal RNA", at positions 355 to 776 of the family's 1533-position model. Lineage: Bacteria; Pseudomonadati; Pseudomonadota. The record is from RNAcentral.